Eucalyptus grandis is the source of this 119-nucleotide non-coding RNA. Lineage: Eukaryota; Viridiplantae; Streptophyta; Magnoliopsida; Myrtales; Myrtaceae. The record is from Rfam.
GGGUGCGAUCAUACCAGCACUAAUGCACCGGAUCCCAUCAGAACUCCGAAGUUAAGCGUGCUUGCGCAAGAGUAGUACUAGGAUGGGUGACCUCCUGGGAAGUGCUUGUGUUGCACCCC